Melospiza melodia melodia is the source of this 1035-nucleotide long non-coding RNA. RefSeq lists it as uncharacterized. Lineage: Eukaryota; Metazoa; Chordata; Aves; Passeriformes; Passerellidae. The transcript is spliced from 3 exons. The record is from RefSeq and is a predicted model, not a curated record.
CAGAAGGAGGCUAUGGCAGAGUUGCUUUCUGAAGAAAGGCAGAAAUGCUGUACCAAACAGGAAUAUCCACUAUUAUAUUCCCAGCAAUCUGGUGGUCAUCAGUGCCUUGCUGAUAAACUGGAAAUCCUCACCUUCUUCUAUCCUCACCUCUCAAAUGACCCAUGAAAGAGUCUUGGAGAUCAAAGAAAUCCUCUUCCAACCUUAUCCUUCGGACAGAAAAACUGAUGGGAUUUAGCACCCAUGUGGGAAUAUGAGCAUUGAUUUCAAGAACAAAGAAGCAACGACCUUUUGUCUGCUGCUGUCAUUCCCUGCUUCACCAUUAAGGUAGUUUUCUUUUCUUUUUUUCCCCCCUUAAUGGGAGGUAUUUUGAAAUAAACCCCUGUCAAUCAUGCCCUGAAAAAGAUGAGCCCAUCCCCGAGCAGAAGCCUUUUAAAAAGUUUAAAAAUAGUGAAUGUCAAAACAUGUGGCAGUAAGGUUAACACAGGACUUUGAAUACAUAUGAUAUGAAUUUAUUUAUUUAUUUCAAAGACAGGUUCUUUUUUAGUCACUAAGAAUGUCAAGCUUUAAAGGAGAAAUGAAAAAUCAAACAAGACUUGUGUUCAGUGAAGACCUUUCCAGCCUCUAACAGCGGUCAGUGUAAGAACAGGGCUAGCAAAGGGAGCCAAUUCUUCCUAUGCAUCCUCCUGGUACCUGGCAUUCUGUGAUUUAAGAAUUUCUGAGUUCAUGUUGCAUCCAUAUCUUUGUGUUGAAUUGCACUUAUAGACCACCUUUAUCUAGCUUUGUUUCUUUAUGUUAUAAUUGAUACUAUACAGGGAGAGAAAACAUUCUCUGUUUGUUUUGACCUUGUUUCAGGUGAAAUCCAUUCAUAUUUUUACUGUGAGAAGCGAUGAAAAGCUUUUCCCUUGUUGCCUAUGUCUGUCCCAGCCUUACACAGCGCUGCUGUUGCUUGGUCAGAGGCUGUGUGCUCAGUGUCCCCUUUCUCAAAACCCCCUCAGCUUUUAAGCAUCUUUGUGCAGUACGUGCCCAGCUCCUGUG